AGUAUUGCAAUGAAGAAGAGGAGUAAGUAAAUAACCUACAUAGAGAGUAUAGUCCAUAGGCUGAAAGACUUUACUAGGCAAUGUUUACUGAAGGUAGCUUCUGAGCUUUCAAGCUGAAAAUAUAGUAGGCUUGAACGGUUGUAGCCGUUAUUUUAAUGAGAGCUAGAUACGUUGUAUCUGGAAAUAAGGUGGUACCGCGAUUACGGCCCUUCGUCCUUAUA
Molecule: non-coding RNA, 221 nt
Filed under: Proteiniborus sp.
Lineage: Bacteria; Bacillati; Bacillota; Clostridia; Eubacteriales
Description: T-box sequence
Rfam family: T-box leader
About the family: Uncharged tRNA acts as the effector for transcription antitermination of genes in the T-box leader family. T-boxes are found upstream of many aminoacyl-tRNA synthetase genes and some amino acid biosynthetic genes usually in Gram-positive bacteria.
Source: RNAcentral